AUCUAUGCUUUAUACAUACUCAAACUUGCCUUGGCUUAAAAAAAUACAUACUACAUGCUUAAAUCAGAAAUGCUAGCCAUCUCACAGAAUACCAACUGAAACUAAGUGCAUUGAGAUCUGAGAUUGGUAAACCCAGAUUCAUUUACCACAGCUGUAAUUAAGUUUUUAGAAACUCUAUUCUCCUCUUUUUGGGGAAAUCCAUUGAAGUUAAUUUCUGUUAUCUUAUUAGAAGAAAAUGAUGUUGAUAUGUUUCAGAUUUUCCAUUUCAAAUCUUAUAAUUAAUUGGAUUUAUUUACUAUAAGUAGGAGGUAUAAAUGACACUCUUAAAUUGGAAGGAGGGGUGUUUUAGUGUCUGUUUUAGGUCAAAAUUAAUGAUUCAAUUUUUAUCAAAAGUUUUAUCCUGAAGUUUCAGGACCACUCUUCCUUAAUAAACUUGUUAAUGGAAAGCAAGCUUUAUGAACAUUUAAAAAUGUUGCUGCUGCUUUGUUACUUAAAAAGAAAGUUGCCAAGAGAGACUUCUUAGGGAAAAUAUUUGUUUUUUUUUCCAAAAAUUGCUGAAAUAUGGUUUUGCCAUUUUUAAAAAGUCUCAGGUUAUUACCACUCUGCCAUUAAAUAUUUGUAUGCCUGCAUUUUUAAAAAUUCUGUGCAUGUACUUUAUAGAGUACAUUCUAUUUCUGUUUUCAGAUACCCUACAACCAAUUUUUUUAGUAAUCUUUCAGAAUAAAAAUUAUCAUAAAUGAUUGAAAAUAAUCAUCACAUAGUUUAAGAUUGUAUGUGUUCAGUAGUUUAAAACAAUCUUUGCAUUUGACAGUAAGAAUCAAAGUCCCUUCAGUGUGCCUUUGUCAGCUAAUAUGUGACCAGCAAUGACAACCUUGGGAGUAUUUAUUAAAUAUUAUACUAUGAAUAUAGGCAACAUAGGACAGGGUUUGCAGUAUAGAGUCUUGAUGCUAAAUUCUCAUAUACCUCUACACGAGAAAUAUGGAGGAGGAAAACAAGCAUUUACAUAUAUUCUUCGUCACUUUGAAGAUGCAUGGCCUGAACUCGACUGCUUGUGUUUGUUUACAUAUCAGGCAUAGCCAGGCAUCUCCUGUAGCCAGAGGUUCCAUUGCUGUCUUUGCUCAGUCCUCUUUUAAAAUAUGAAUUAGUGGACAGGCGCGGUGGCUCACACCUGUAAUCCCAGCACUUUGGGAGGUCGAGGCAGGUGGAUCAUGAGGUCAGGAGAUCAAGAUCAUCCUGGCUAACACCGAAACCCCAUCUCUACUACAAAAAAAUUAGCUGGGCGUGGUGGCGGGUACCUGUAGUCCCAGCUACUCGGGAGGCUGAGGCAGGAGAAUGGCGGGAACCCAGGAGGCAGAGCUUGCAGUGAGCCAAGAUUGCGCCACUGCACUCCAGCCUGGGCAACAGAGCAAGACUCCGUCUCAAAAAAAAUUAAAAAAUAAAAAUAAAUUAUGAAUGAGUAUUUUCUAGAAAUUCAACUUGCUAAGCCUGUAAUACUUAAGGGUAGUUUAUCUAGAUACAGUACUUUCUUCCCUGAUAAGUAGUAUCAUUGGAGCCCUUAGGUAUAGGAGAAGAGGAAGAAGUUUAAAAAGUGUACCUGGGCCGGGUGUGGUGGCUCACUCCUGUAAUCCCAGCACUUUGGGAGGCCGAGGGGGGCAGAUCACGAGGUGAGGAGAUUGAGACUUUCCCGGCUAACACGGUGAAACCCCGUCUCUACUAAAAAUACAAAAAAACAUGAGCCAGGCGUGGUGGCGGGCACCUGUAGUCCCAGCUACUCGGGAGGCUGAGGCAGGAGAAUGGCUUGAACCCAGGAGGCGGAUCUUGCAGUGAGCUGAGAUCGCGCCACUGCACUCCAGCCUGGGUGACAGAGCAAGACUCCGUCUCAAAAAAAAAAUAAAAAGUGUUUAAGUGGAUUAAAAGAGAAACUUGGUCUAGUUCAUAAUAUUUUUAAUAGGGCUUUCCCUGGCUGCUGGAAAACUUAGGCCAGUAAGCAUCUCUUUGUUUAAAGUCCUACAAGACAAUUUGAAAUAAUUCAUUGUUCAUGCCAAAAUUCUAAGUACUGUUUUUCUUAGCAAGUGUGAUAUAACCGGGAAAAAUGGGUACAAGUAAAAGAUUCUUUGGAUCAUACUCAAAGCCUUAUUAGCACUGCACCUGAAUAAUAGGUCAUUUUGCCUCACUCAUUUGCCAAAGUAGCCAUUUCUAAGUUAAGGAAGUUUUUAGGUAGGCUCAUAGCCUUGUGUUUCAUUUUAGAUUGUAAGCUCAAUGGCAGGGAUACUAUAUCGAUAAUUAUGUUUUCAUACAGCAACCAUCACAGUAUAUUCUUGGUGCUUAAUAAAUGUUAAUAAUUGUUAAC
Pongo abelii (Sumatran orangutan) is the source of this 2350-nucleotide long non-coding RNA. The record is from Ensembl. NCBI's taxonomy places the organism in Eukaryota, Metazoa, Chordata, Mammalia, Primates, Hominidae.